AGGAGCAAAUCAUGUCUUAUACAUGGU
Molecule: non-coding RNA, 27 nt
Filed under: Homo sapiens (human)
Lineage: Eukaryota; Metazoa; Chordata; Mammalia; Primates; Hominidae
Source: RNAcentral